CAGCAUCGCAGCCACGGCUACCAUCCACAGAUCAGCUGUUGGUGAUUUGAUGACGCCAUCACAGUCCACAUCAAGGCUCCAAACUACGAGGUCUGAGGUGCGGUGCUGAGCUGCAGCAGGUGACUCCCAGGUCGUGGGCGUCCUUCUCGGCGUGCAGGAGGCUGAUGUCCAUGUCCCAUAGUUUAAGGUCGCCGUUGGUGCAGCCGGUCACGAAGACCUGGCCACACAUGUCUUGCAGGAGAAGUCCCAGAGGACCACGGUGACUGUCAGAGGCUCCAGCCAGCAGGAGGGAGGAGUCUGGGGCCAGGGCGGGCGCACACCCGGAGCGGACUGCGGCCCGGGUGCUGCAGCUCAGUGGCCACCUCACCUGUGUCCGGGCUCCACGCCAUGAUGGACCUGUCUGUGGAUCAGCUGACCAGGCUCCGGGCGCAGGCGCUGAAGUAGCAGCAGUGAACCCCGUAGCCGUGUCCGGACAGCGGAGGGUUUUAUCGGCCGAGCAGGUGGCGAGCAGGCCCGCAGAGAAGCAGCAGCAGCUCAGCUCGUCUGUGUGCUGCUGAUGAGUGUUGACUAAUGUCACCAUGAUGAUGAUGAAGAGGAGGAGGAGGAGCAGGAGGUUCACUCACCAGGGGGCGCACACUGAUCUUAUAUGAGAUGGGAGCUGUCAGAGGGAUGAAGGCGGAUGUGGAGCCUCUCAGGAGGAACAUGGACUUCCUAGCCUGGAUGCCAGACAAACUUAGCCCCGCCCCCAACAUUUGAGGUCGGGAAGUUAGGUGUGGAGUUGCUCCGUUGGGGAGAAAUUAUGCCCGAUCAGAAACUGUUCGGACCAAUCAGAUUUUCAGGGCGGGCUUUAUACGAUGAUACAGUAACGUAAUCAACCACUUCAUCAAAGUGCGCUUGGGUUGAAUUCGUUUUCAACAAACAUGCCUGCCGCUGGAGAGCUGAGAUGUGUAGAUGCUGACAUUGAAUCUGUUUUAGAAUACAUCGACAGCACAUUCAUUUUGAAAGAGGAACAGAGAACGCGGAGACGACGCCAAAGCACCGCGCUAAUCCCUAGCGUGCCGGCGCUUGGCUGUUCACACCGGACACUGAAGCGACGCUGAACCGCCGGGCAGCGCUAAUAAUAUCACCCGUUGAUCCAGUAGAUUAAAAGCAUAUACUUACUUGUUGCUCCAACAUUAAGCAACAGCGUCCCAACAUUUGUCUUUUUUGGUGUUGUCUUCAUACAACAUGUUCCGAGGAUCAUACAACUCACUGUACUUCUCCACUUCAAUUAUGAAUUUAAUGUCAUCCAUGUUGAAGAACUUUGCUGUUUGCUCCGUUAAAUGUCGGGUGUCGAGGGUAAAUUACGUAUUCUCCACUCAAGCCUAUGGGGAGAAUACGUAGCCCCCUCUCUCUCUCUUUUUAUCUGUAUCACUGCUUGUGUGGCUGUAGUGGAUGGGCAGAGGGGGACAUUGGUAAAAUUAAAACUCCAGGACAACAGAAGGGGAAUUCAAAGAAUGGGAUGCAUAUUUGAUCAUUUAUAUCGUAUAAAAUAUGUCAUCAAUAUCGUUUAAAAUCAUUUUACACUCGCGUCAAGCGCAAAAAAUAGACUCAACGCGGAAACGAUCACUUAACGGCGCUAGGCAGCCUUGGCGCAGCGCGGCGCUUCAGUCUGAACUGAUUUGAGCUCCUUUACAUCCUGUUAUAUUAUCAGAUCUCAACUCUACACUUUUUAUUGUAUUUGUUGAUCAUGUUUUAUUCUACCACAUAACUAAGCUGUGAAAUGUAAGUAAGCAGCAGGAGCGGAGUGAAAUAAUAAAGGAAAUUCUUCCCAGUGAAGAGAAGUUUAAAAAAGGUAAAUUCUCAAGUAAGCGUCCUUAAAAUAUAUUUUUUAAUGAUUAUUAAACUUAUUAUCCUCAAAGCUAAAAAGGCUGAGAUUCUGCCUAAUAAUAGUAUUACUACUGGGAAACUUUUAACUUUUAUGUCAUCUGUGCUACUCAUCCACCAUUUAAAAAUAAUAUACCUACAAAAGUUGCUACAACUAUAUUCAUAGUAAAAUCCAGUUUUUCAGCUGCAGUUGUUUGGAGAUGCCUCCAGACGACCGUGACUCCGUCCCACUCUCCGCUGGAUUAAAGCCCAGCGCAGUGUCAUGUCUGUCCGCAGGACGUCUGACAAGACUGGUUAAAGGAACGGCUCGGAGAUCAAACAUGCAUUUUGUGUAAGGGGGGUUCUUACAGUAUAUUGUGCAGGACACAAACGCAGGACACACACAGUGUUUGUUCUUUCACAUUGUACAUUCAGCUUUAUUGCAGCUCAUACAGAUAUAGGGUCACAGGCGAAGAGAAAGCGAGCGACACCAAAGAGGACGAUUGAUAAGUAUAAACAAGUGUUUUUCUAUAUUUUAGCUUUAGUUUUGCCCCAGGAGCUCAGCCCAUCGCUUGGCAAAGAAUUCUUUCAAUGUCAGUCCUGCUCGUCCGAUUGUCGAAUCUUCCUCAUUGUAUUUCUCACAGUUUUCAAAAACCAGGUUGACGUCCAUGACGAAUGUCUCAAAAUGUAGGUACCUGCAAAGAUUGGAAAUAGUUUAAUUUUAAUUCAGAGGCAGCAUUCAUAUCAGAGAAGUAACUGAA
Platichthys flesus (European flounder) is the source of this 2606-nucleotide long non-coding RNA. RefSeq lists it as uncharacterized. NCBI's taxonomy places the organism in Eukaryota, Metazoa, Chordata, Actinopteri, Pleuronectiformes, Pleuronectidae. The record is from RefSeq and is a predicted model, not a curated record. The transcript is spliced from 3 exons.